CGAACGCUGGCGGCGUGCUUAACACAUGCAAGUCGAACGAGGUGAUUGAAGCUUGCUUUGAGAACCGAGUGGCAAACGGGUGAGUAACGCGUAGACAACCUGCCGCAAAGAUGGGGACAACAGUCCGAAAGGACUGCUAAUACCGAAUGUUGUCAGAUUCCGCAUGGGAGACUGAUUAAAGAUGGCCUCUACUUGUAAGCUAUCGCUUUGCGAUGGGUCUGCGUCUGAUUAGCUAGUUGGUGGGGUAACGGCCUACCAAGGCGACGAUCAGUAGCCGGUCUGAGAGGAUGAACGGCCACAUUGGAACUGAGACACGGUCCAGACUCCUACGGGAGGCAGCAGUGGGGAAUCUUCCGCAAUGGGCGAAAGCCUGACGGAGCAACGCCGCGUGAGUGAAGAAAGGGUUUCGGCUCGUAAAGCUCUGUUGACGGGGACGAAUGUGCAAGAUGCGAAUAGUUUCUUGCAAUGACGGUACCCGUCGAGGAAGCCACGGCUAACUACGUGCCAGCAGCGGC
Molecule: ribosomal RNA, 515 nt
Filed under: uncultured bacterium
Lineage: Bacteria
Description: bacterial SSU rRNA
Rfam family: Bacterial small subunit ribosomal RNA
Source: RNAcentral